AAGUCGUAACAAGGUUUCCGUAGGUACAAAUAGGUUUGCCUGCCGACACCUCCCGCAACGACGUUAAAAAACUGCGCGGUCUACGCCCUAUUGGCGUGGGCAACACCGUUCAAGUGCUGAGAAUACCCGGCGAGAGCCCCGCACAACCAGCAGCCAGCAGUUAGUUACUGCCUGGUCCACAGAUCAAUCGACGGUGACCGUUAUCGGCUAAGUUAUGACCGGUCCAGAGCCCCAACGGGCCCUGGAGCCAUGGAACCUGCGGAAGGAUCAUUACCGAGAGACGGGGUCUAACCGGCCUCAAUUCUUCAUCCGUGUCUACAUACCAAUGUUGCUUUGGCGAGCCUCGGGCUUUUUCCGGGGAGUUGACGCUCCUUCGCCCGCCAAAGACCCAUAUAAAACCUGUUAUCAGUGUCGUCCGAGUAAACAUAUAAUGAUUAAAACUUUCAACAACGGAUCUCUUGGUUCUGGCAUCGAUGAAGAACGCAGCGAAAUGCGAUAAGUAAUGUGAAUUGCAGAAUUCCGUGAAUCAUCGAAUCUUUGAACGCACAUUGCGCCCUUUGGUAUUCCGAAGGGCAUGCCUGUUCGAGCGUCAUUGCAACCCUCAAGCACUGCUUGGUAUUGGGCCUCGUCCCCGCGACGUGCCCGCAAUUUCGUGGCGGUCCGGUGAGACUUGAAGCGUAGCAAGAUUUAUAUCCCGCUUUGCAAGCCUCUCGCUGCGUGCCGGCCAAACAACCAUUAUAUUUUUCAAUGGUUGA
Molecule: ribosomal RNA, 755 nt
Filed under: Physcia tenella
Lineage: Eukaryota; Fungi; Ascomycota; Lecanoromycetes; Caliciales; Physciaceae
Description: eukaryotic LSU rRNA
Rfam family: 5.8S ribosomal RNA (bases 439-592)
Source: RNAcentral